AAUGGCAGAGUUGGAGUUAGCCAAGGGCUAUUUCUUUAUAAUCACCGUGUGUGGUCGUUGUCUAUUUCCCAUCUACUAUUUAAACCCUGGAAGGUGUAUUAUUACAAAGGCUGGCUGGGCAAGGGCUUGGACAAUUCUGAACUGUUACAAACUUCUCUCCAAACGAACAGGUAUCAUUGUUGAAAACACUGGGUAUCCACUGCAUAUAGAAUACUAUGUUCAUUGAAAGGAGUGGAGUCCUGACAAUUCCCAGACCCUCUCAUAUUAUCUCUCAAGGAAUCUAGCUUAAAGGAUCCGCCCAAUGUAGAUGAAGAACAGAAAGCCACACAGCAAGCCCGGAGAUACUUAUAGGCUAUCUUAAAGUCUUCACACCGAAGCCAGAUGUCAGGAGGGCUACAAAGAAGAUUCCUACCCUGAGAGGCCAAAUUUGAACAUUCAUUCAUUCAUUCAUUCAAACAUUUAUUGGCCACCUAUUAUGUGCACUCUGCUAGGUGCUGGGGACAUUUCUGAGGACAAAGCAGAUCAAAAUCCCUAAUCUCCUGGAGCUGACAUGGCUGGGAGGUGGGAGGAGUGGGAAGUCAGGCACUGUGUGACCUGGCAGGCCUCCUAUAAUUCCAGGACUGUAGAAUGUGUGGAACUUUAUGGAACUUCAUGACUCACUUCCACCUGUAUCAUUUCAGGUAAUCCUCACUACAACCCUUGAAGUUGUUAGGGCAGGCCAGGCCAGUGCCUACACCUAAUAAAUGUGUACUCAAAAAAGCAAUAAAUUUAUUCCA
Molecule: long non-coding RNA, 776 nt
Organism: Physeter macrocephalus (sperm whale)
Lineage: Eukaryota; Metazoa; Chordata; Mammalia; Artiodactyla; Physeteridae
Exons: 3
Source: RefSeq, a predicted model, not a curated record